GAUGAAGAACGCAGCGAAAUGCGAUAAGUAAUGUGAAUUGCAGAAUUCAGUGAAUCAUCGAAUCUUUGAACGCACAUUGCGCCCGCCAGUAUUCUGGCGGGCAUGCCUGUUCGAGCGUCAUUUCAACCAUCAAGCCCCCGGGCUUGUGUUGGGGACCUGCGGCUGCCGCAGGCCCUGAAAAGCAGUGGCGGGCUCGCUGUCACACCGAGCGUAGUAGAUUUUAUCUCGCUCAGGGCGUGCUGCGGGUUCCGGCCGUUAAACCACCUUCAUACCCCACGGUUGACCUCGGAUCAGGUAGGAAGACCCGCUGAAAUUAAGCAUAUCAAUAAGCGGAGGA
Molecule: unclassified non-coding RNA, 337 nt
Filed under: soil metagenome
Description: partial contains 5.8S ribosomal RNA, internal transcribed spacer 2, and large subunit ribosomal RNA
Rfam family: 5.8S ribosomal RNA (bases 1-120)
Source: RNAcentral